UUUCCGUAGGUGAACCUGCGGAAGGAUCACUAAAGAGAACUUGCCCUUCGGGGUAGAUCUCCCACCCUUUGUUUAUUAUACUUUGUUGCUUUGGCGGGCCUGCCUCACGGCUGCCGGCGUAAGCUGGCUCGCGCCCGCCAGAGACCCCUAAACUCUGAAUAUUGUCGUCUGAGUAAUAUAUAAUAAGUUAAAACUUUCAACAACGGAUCUCUUGGUCCUG
RNAcentral lists this unclassified non-coding RNA (220 nucleotides) under plant metagenome. RNAcentral describes it as "partial contains small subunit ribosomal RNA, internal transcribed spacer 1, and 5.8S ribosomal RNA". The record is from RNAcentral.